CGUCAACAUCAGCAUUGUUGAUCGGGCCAUCCAUCGUCUUGUUUUGUUUUUCCUGUGUCGUAAAGAGGCAGUAGCAAGACACAAAGUUGUUGUAUAUGUGCGUACAAGUGCCAAAACCAAAAAAACAAGUUGCGCUAUUUCUGUUUUGCCAAUCAGUCUGUUUUUGGAACUCUUCCACGGCGUAAGCUUCUAAUUUUGGCUUUGGCACACAUAGCGGAGCGCCUUUUACUUCCUUCCGUCUCAGUUGCAUCAUUACUGAAAUUAAUUUGAGAAGAUAAUUCGUCAUUAUUAAAUGCCAACAAUCGUUUCAUAUCGAAAACCGUUUUCGUCCUCGUGCUGCUGCCACCUUGUGGGUCAUCUUGUCAAUUCGGGAAUGGCAAAACAUUUCGACAUGUAGGGCAUUGUCCAUCCUCAAGUUGUAACGACCGAAGUGUAAAGAGCGUCUUGUUACUGUUUGACAGGACGUGCGAGCGUUUUUCAAAGUGAAACAGAUCAAGAAGUUGAGGAAGCGCCAAAGUGUAUUGUGGAAUGUGCGGUAAUAUAAUGAUGAAAAAGGCACUGCAAUACACACCAGAUAGACAAGGUCUAGAAACAGAUGCGGGAUAGGAAGGUAAGGAUAAUAAUUGUUAUUUUAACAGAAUGUAAGUAUACCAAAAGGAGAAUGUUUUUGUUCGUUUUAUAUCUUUUGGAUUUUUUAUUUUACCAGAAAUUUGGUGGAUUUAUUGAAAUGAGGACUGGGGUAAUACGAAAAUAUAAAAUAAAUCGUGCAAUUUUCGAUCUAACCGCUCAUUACGGCACGAACAAAUUCUUCGUAGUUAACGUUGCCUUGCGAAUCUUCAUGGCCAUUCAAAAGUUCCCCAACUUCAUCAUCAGCCAAUUUCUCACCUGCAAAUUAAAGGUAUUAAUUUUUCCUGCAUACAGUCAAGUUUUAAGAACAUACCUAAUGUUGUGAGAAGGUGUCUCAAUUCUGCUGAUGAAAUGUAACCAUUGCCAUCUUUGUCAAAAUGCCUCAGGCCUUCAAUAAAGUCUUCUGCUGUAUCAGCUGAACGGUUUUUAGAAAUAGCUUGAAGGAUAGG
Daphnia carinata is the source of this 1076-nucleotide long non-coding RNA. RefSeq lists it as uncharacterized. Lineage: Eukaryota; Metazoa; Arthropoda; Branchiopoda; Diplostraca; Daphniidae. The transcript is spliced from 2 exons. The record is from RefSeq and is a predicted model, not a curated record.